CCUACGGGAGGCAGCAGUAAGGAAUAUUGGUCAAUGGACGCAAGUCUGAACCAGCCAUGCCGCGUGAAGGAUUAAGGUCCUCUGGAUUGUAAACUUCUUUUAUCUGGGACGAAAAAAGGCGAUUCUUCGUCACUUGACGGUACCAGAUGAAUAAGCACCGGCUAACUCCGUGCCAGCAGCCGCGGUAAUACGGAGGGUGCAAGCGUUAUCCGGAUUCACUGGGUUUAAAGGGUGCGUAGGCGGGCAGGUAAGUCAGUGGUGAAAUCCUAGAGCUUAACUCUAGAACUGCCAUUGAUACUAUCUGUCUUGAAUAUUGUGGAGGUAAGCGGAAUAUGUCAUGUAGCGGUGAAAUGCUUAGAUAUGACAUAGAACACCUAUUGCGAAGGCAGCUUACUACGCAUAUAUUGACGCUGAGGCACGAAAGCGUGGGGAUCAAACAGGAUUAGAUACCCUGGUAGUCCACGCCCUAAACGAUGAUUACUCGACAUUUGUGAUACACUAUAAGUGUUNUGAGAGAAGANAUAAGUAAUACCACCGNGGAGUACGACCGACGAGUAGAACGUACGAAGAAGUAGAGGACGUGAGACGNGCGACGGACGACGACGAGGGGAGGAGG
This 616-nucleotide ribosomal RNA is filed under the name uncultured bacterium. RNAcentral's name for it is "bacterial SSU rRNA". The stretch from base 1 to 536 matches the Rfam family "Bacterial small subunit ribosomal RNA", at positions 338 to 873 of the family's 1533-position model. The record is from RNAcentral.